CAUCGCGGUGAAACACUGACUUUCAUACGAUCACCGAAGUUAAGCAACGUCAAGCCUGAUCAGUACCUAGAUGAGUGACCGCUUGAGAGUACCAGGAGCUGUAA
Non-coding RNA from Acanthosepion pharaonis, 104 nucleotides. NCBI's taxonomy places the organism in Eukaryota, Metazoa, Mollusca, Cephalopoda, Sepiida, Sepiidae. The record is from the annotation of a GenBank genome assembly.